CUGCCAUUUCUGGCAUCUUUAUUAAAAUCUGCUCCUUUGUCUAACAACAUCCUUACUAACUAUGUAUGUCGUUUACAACACGCAAUCAUUUUCGAUGACCAGCCACCAUUGUUAAGUUUAUUAUAACAUGUAUAAUCUGCUCUCUUGUUUUACAACAUCAUAACUAUGUCUGCAUGAUGUUUACAGCAAGCUAUCAAAAGAGGUGACCAGCCAUCACUGGCACAUUUAUUUUAAUCUAUAAUCUGCUCCUUUGUUUAACCAGAUGCUCCGCAGGGCGCAGCUUUAUACGACCACAGAGGUUGAACCCUGAACGGUUGGGGCAAGUAUGGACACAACAUUCAAGCUGGAUUCAGCUCUAAAUUUGAUUGUGAUUAAAUAGUUGACACAGCAUAGGUUUACACAUGAAUGUGGUCUAAUGAACUUAAAACAUUUUGUUUGCCUUUGAGCAAUUCACUAUGCUGUUGAAUAUUAAUCCUCUCAAAAAAAUGUUUGAAGAAACUUUCUUUUUAUUUAUGAAAUCUGAAAUGAGAAAAAUUUAACCCCCCCCCCAUUUUUUUUUACAUCCCCCUUUCCCUUUUUCCAAAACUGAUCUCAAUUCAAAU
RNAcentral lists this long non-coding RNA (602 nucleotides) under Mytilus galloprovincialis (Mediterranean mussel). Lineage: Eukaryota; Metazoa; Mollusca; Bivalvia; Mytilida; Mytilidae. The record is from RNAcentral.